ACAAUAGAAAGCAUUUUGAUACAUUGUACACAAAUGGAACGCGAUUCUUCACUCCCCUGUAUGUAUUUAUUUUUAUGUGGUGCUGAGGAUUAAAUCCAGUGCCUCACAUGGCUAGGCAGGGGCUCCACCACUGAGCUAUAGCCCAGCCCCUUAUUCCAGUCUUAAUUGCUCAUAUCUGUAAAACUCAAUCACACAUCCCACUUCACACAGAGACAUAUAUGCAGGUCACAGAAAGGCUGAGAAAGGGUUAAGGUGGCCACAGAGGGUCAGGAGGCUGACCUGAGAGUAAAGCAGAGAGCAGACAUGGAUGCAGAGUCAGGAGGUGGUCAGAUAAGGUGAGGAACCAGCAGACAACUUGCUCAGGGCGCAGAACGGUCAAAGCAUGGGACUUAUCUCGGCCAAGACCCAUUUGGAGGAAGCUUCACAGUGUCAGUUUGGAUGUCAGUGUGAGAUGUCAGCUGAGAUGUCGGUGGGGUGGUACUUGCAGGGCCUCCACAGGUUGGAGGACACAGCCUGAGAGUUGCUGGUCUACACACCGUGGAGCCAUUCAUAGGCAGGUUCUUGUGGAGGCAGGGGGAGGGAGGGGGAUAAGAUGAGGGGUGUGACGGCCAAGGGACACUCUGGGCUCAGUUCUUCCUCUAGCCGAUCCUGACCUGGGAAUUGGGGUGCCCCUGCCCUGAUCCCUUCUCUCCUAGGAUCUGUGGAGAGAUUGUUCUGUGCAGGAACGCCUGCUCGUUGAAGGGCUGGGUGGUGGAUCAUCCAGUCUGGUGGCCAUGGAGACAGGCACGGUCUGUUUCAGCUCCUGUGUGCAGUGGGACCACAGUUAGGACGCAUGGUGUUUGGGGAUGAAGCCUCCGGUGGCCUACUCAGUCCUGUCUGGGUGCCGUGGCAACGGGGACCACGCUGUCUCCAGGGCUGUGAUGCUCCCCGCUCUCCAGCCUUUUCCUGGGCUGUCGGGUUGCCCUGGAGCUAGGCCUGUGGGGCGAGGAGGCUGGCGGCUCUGGGCUCCGGGUGUCAGAAGUAAAUUAAAGGCAGUGAAGAAUGAGCAUGGGGCCUCCUGCCACUUACGGCUGCCCUGGUCGGCAAACAUGAGAAGACCGUGGUGGGCAGAGGACUGUUGACAAAGAUGUAAGCACAGAGGCACCCAGCCUGGGAAAGCUGAGGGGCAAACACAGCCGGAGCCCCGGCCCCUUGCGAGCCGCUGCCCCAGCCCCUGGAAAGCCAGCCAGUGUCUUUCUUCCUGUGCCAGGGGGGGCCUCGCCCCACACUGGCCACCCAGCAGCCUCCCUGAGACACGCAGGUUGUCUGCCUGGUCUCAAGGCCACAUCUCCCACACGGUAGGAGGACUGGGCAGGCGCUUUCUCUGGGGUGUCUUGCUCCCUCUGGGGUUAGUUCUAGGGUGCUAGGUCAAUGUUUGUCUCCCUGGGCAGGAGUGAGGGCUUGUCCCAGAGGGCCAGAAGUCAGGCUGAGAAUGUGUCCCUGGAGUUAACAAUCAAGGCUCUGACAAGGCCCUCAAUACAUGGAGUGCUGUCUGGAAAAGGCUGAGCCUGGUGGGAGGGUCCUCUGGGAUGAAGGCCUGGGCCUAGAAGAUGAAGGCCAAAGAAUGGAGGCCAUAGGGUACAUGAAGGGCUGCAGAGACAGCCCAGGAGAUGACUUGAAAAUAGGGGUCUGAUUAUGUAAGUCACACAGCUGAUUGUUUUACAGCCUGACAUGCCUGUGUGACAUCUCCUCAUGUCUCCUGAGCCAUAGAGAGGAGGGAUCUGAAGGCCCUGGAGCAUCAGGAGGCUCUUGAGAGGACCACAUGACCCCUAGGAGUCACAUCUGUAAGAAGGACACUGUUCUCAGGCUAACAUUGGCCAAAGCUUCCUCGGGCUUCCUACUUGGCCUCAGUUGCCAUUCGAUGGGGGCAGGAGCCCGUGGCCUGUGACCUGUCCCACAGACCCUCCUGUAGUAGCCUCCACUUUGGUGACAAAGGUAUCACUUACUUGCCAUGGUCAAGAGCCUGUGGGUCGCAGCACUGUUGGCAGGAGGUGCUACGGAUCAUUGCCUCGCACCACAUGAGUGCUGGCCAGUUGCUCUGCCUGGCCACUGUUCCUGGAGCCCAGGCCUUGGACAUGGUGCUGUGCACAGAAACUUGAACAACAGAGGACGGUUCCUGCCUGCAGGACUCCCCAGAGCUAUAACAUGCAACGUUCAACGUGUGUCUCCCUAGGCCACAGGAUGGUCAGGGCAGCUGGGAGGGGCUCUGGCCUGGCAUGAUAGUCUUACCUCCUGCUCCUCAAGCACCGGCUACAUGCUGCACCUGGGAAGUGGGAUGCAGUGGGAGCCAGGCCCGGUCCCACUGGCCGCUGGGGAGGGCAACCUCCAAGGGCAAUCUCAGCCUGGUGCUCCCACAGAUCAGACAGGCUGUUCCAGGCUCCCUGGCCUUGAGGGAGCCACCACACACCGGCCUCCUGCAUGGCUGGGCUCUCAGAAGCUGCAGCCCUGUGGCCAUCCUGUCUGCAGUUCCUGGGAGACCACUACACAGUGCUGCCACCGAGCCCUCAUACAUAAGAGACUAGGGCCAGUGUGUCGACUGCUUCUGCAAGUUAGUAAGUCUUGCUCUGCACCAGUGGUUGGCUGGUUAAAUGGCAUAUCCUGGUAGAAAUCAGAGGCCUGGGAGGUCGUGGAGCAGGGAGCUGACCUACUGGCAGACAGAGGAGCAUCCUGGAGCCCCUGGACAGCAAGGGCGUGAAGCCCAGGGACAUGGGCAAGGUCAUAGAGAGGUUCACAGGCACCACCUCAUCACACUUGUGCUGCGACCUGUCACUAUACAUUUAACAAGAAAGUGUGCUUUUAAUUUUAUGUUUAAUUAUUGUAAUAUUUUAAUUAAAAGUCUGAAAACUUGUUAUGCACAAGUGAAGCCACAGGAGGAGCCGGAGGAAAGGCAGAGGGAGGCACCAGUGUCAGUGGUGGGUGGAAAUUCUGCAGGAAGGUUGAGCAUUGGUGGAGGGAAAGCAGAGUGCAAGGGUCCACACCACUGGGGUGACUGAACCAGAGCCACAGCCAUUGCAGAGAUCCCAGACCAUGCAGCUCCGAGGAACACAGCUGACUGUUCCUCCAGUGACUGAGCACGGAGUCACCAGGUGACCCUGCAGUUCCACUUCCGGGUGUGAAAUGAAAACACAAGGACUCAGUAGUCACAGCAGCCCAGAUGUGGAGCAACCAGGAGCCCCUCAGUGGACAAACUUCACUAAACAUGGUCAUCCACAUGCAGCUGCUCUGCAAAAGUGACCAGGAGUCAAGCACUGACACACUGCAGCACGGCAGACUACGGGAGCACAUGCUCCUGGGAGAGUGGUAACCAGAGGCAUGGUACAACAGAGACCCCUCCUGUGGUUUUUCCCCAGCCAGAUCCUCUACACAUACAGCUCAGCACACCUGCACCUGAGCCUGAUCCUCCACACACACAGCUCAGCACACCUGCACCUGAGCCUGAUCCUCCACACACACAGCUCAGCGCACCUGCACCUGAGCCUGAUCCUCCACACACACAGCUCAGCACACCUGCACCU
This 3554-nucleotide long non-coding RNA is filed under the name Marmota monax (woodchuck). Lineage: Eukaryota; Metazoa; Chordata; Mammalia; Rodentia; Sciuridae. The record is from RNAcentral.